GGCUCGGGAAGGACAGGCUGUUUGCUCUGC
This 30-nucleotide non-coding RNA is filed under the name Homo sapiens (human). The record is from RNAcentral. Lineage: Eukaryota; Metazoa; Chordata; Mammalia; Primates; Hominidae.